Molecule: long non-coding RNA, 449 nt
Organism: Coregonus clupeaformis (lake whitefish)
Lineage: Eukaryota; Metazoa; Chordata; Actinopteri; Salmoniformes; Salmonidae
Exons: 3
Source: RefSeq, a predicted model, not a curated record
AGAGAUUUACAACCGGUAGAGUUGGGUAGACCGUAGCCCAGUUCAGGUGAACGGUAGCCAGAGACUUGGUAGUGCUGCUGAGUUAGGUUCAACGUUUCCUGUGUUGCGUGAUGGUUUGAACUGAACUACACGUUUUCGAAAAUGGUGCGCAUCGUUCUUCAGCAGCCUUUGAGAGGACCGCAGGUUUUCCUGAGGUUUGUGACGGGGAGGAGCCAUCUUCCAGCACCCAUCUACAUCUUCCUUGACAAACAAGGUGUGUGAGGACAAGCUGCGCUACAACUGUGUCGCCAUCGACACUGACAUGAGUCCCUGGGAGGAGUGACCACGCCCCCUGGCCAAACUCCAGCCACCCCCUGCCUCUAUAUCAGUCUUAGACCACGUCCGUGGCCAACCCGUAUUUAUGCAGCGUUCAGAACAAGAUCUCAGAAAAUACUACUUGUAAACUUAGA